Vicia villosa (hairy vetch) is the source of this 528-nucleotide long non-coding RNA. RefSeq lists it as uncharacterized. The record is from RefSeq and is a predicted model, not a curated record. The transcript is spliced from 2 exons. NCBI's taxonomy places the organism in Eukaryota, Viridiplantae, Streptophyta, Magnoliopsida, Fabales, Fabaceae.
AAAAGCUUAUAUGACAAGCUUUGCAUCUUAUCCCAAAUUGCCUUUACUUCUUUUACAAUUCUCAUUAUCUCUUUCUCUUCCCCCACUCUUCUCUCAUUCUUUCUUUUUCCAUGUUGUUAUUUUCUCUUCUCUAAAUAUUUUAUCUCUUUUUCUUUCUUCAUCAUAUUUUCUCCAAUUUAUUUUACUCACUCCUCACUGUUUCUUCUGCAAUCUAAAUACAUAUAAACUCAAUUUUAACUCUAUUUUUUCUCCAUCAUCUUCUUAAUAUUUGUUGAUCUUUUCAGGUUCUAGAUCCACCGAAGACGGAAACAAGUAGUAAAUCAACCUCAAAAACAAGAAACAGGUCAUAGAUCUGCCAAAGACGGAAAUGAGAAGUAAAAAAAAUUGAAAAACAAGAAACAAGUUAAUAAUUUUAAGUUGAUUUUUUUUAAUGUUUAGAGUGUAGAUCUACAAGUAUAUUUUCUAUCCAGAUCUGUAAUUUUAAAACAAAACUACAAUGUCGGAAACAAGUAUAUUUAUUUUUUAUCA